This 301-nucleotide RNase P RNA is filed under the name Enterobacter hormaechei. RNAcentral describes it as "RNase P RNA component class A". It matches the Rfam family "Bacterial RNase P class A". From Rfam's summary of the family: Ribonuclease P (RNase P) is a ubiquitous endoribonuclease, found in archaea, bacteria and eukarya as well as chloroplasts and mitochondria. Its best characterised activity is the generation of mature 5'-ends of tRNAs by cleaving the 5'-leader elements of precursor-tRNAs. Lineage: Bacteria; Pseudomonadati; Pseudomonadota; Gammaproteobacteria; Enterobacterales; Enterobacteriaceae. The record is from RNAcentral.
GAAGCUGACCAGACAGUCGCCGCUUCGUCGUCGUCCCUUUCGGGGGAGACGGGCGGAGGGGAGGAAAGUCCGGGCUCCACAGGGCAGGGUGCCAGGUAACGCCUGGGGGGGAAACCCACGACCAGUGCAACAGAGAGCAAACCGCCGAUGGCCCGCGCAAGCGGGAUCAGCAAGGCCAAAUAGGGGUUCACAUGGUACGGCCCGUACUGAACCCGGGUAGGCUGCUUGAGCCAGUGAGCGAUUGCUGGCCUAGAUGAAUGACUGUCCACGACAGAACCCGGCUUAUCGGUCAGCUUCAACU